RNAcentral lists this non-coding RNA (24 nucleotides) under Cricetulus griseus (Chinese hamster). Lineage: Eukaryota; Metazoa; Chordata; Mammalia; Rodentia; Cricetidae. The record is from RNAcentral.
UCUAACCCAGAGAUUAACACUGUA